Molecule: ribosomal RNA, 892 nt
Filed under: uncultured Anaeromyxobacter sp.
Lineage: Bacteria; Pseudomonadati; Myxococcota; Myxococcia; Myxococcales; Anaeromyxobacteraceae
Description: bacterial SSU rRNA
Rfam family: Bacterial small subunit ribosomal RNA
Source: RNAcentral
AACGAACGCUGGCGGCGUGCCUAACACAUGCAAGUCGAGCGAGAAAGCCCGCAAGGGUGAGUAAAGCGGCGCACGGGUGCGUAACACGUGGGUAAUCUGCCCUGAAGUCCGGAAUAACUCGCCGAAAGGCGUGCUAAUGCCGGAUAAGACCACGGGAGCCUCGGCUCCUGCGGGAAAAGGUGGCCUCUGUACACAAGCUAUCACUUCAGGAUGAGCCCGCGGCCCAUCAGCUCGUUGGCGGGGUAAUGGCCCACCAAGGCUACGACGGGUAGCUGGUCUGAGAGGACGAUCAGCCACACUGGAACUGAGACACGGUCCAGACUCCUACGGGAGGCAGCAGUGGGGAAUCUUGCGCAAUGGGCGAAAGCCUGACGCAGCAACGCCGCGUGUGUGAUGAAGGUCUUCGGAUCGUAAAGCACUGUCGCGAGGGACGAAUAAGGGGCGGGCUAACAUCCCGUUCCGAUGACGGUACCUCGAGAGGAAGCACCGGCUAACUCUGUGCCAGCAGCCGCGGUAAUACAGAGGGUGCAAGCGUUGUUCGGAAUUAUUGGGCGUAAAGCGCGUGUAGGCGGCUUUGUAAGUUGGGUGUGAAAGCCCUCGGCUUAACCGAGGAAGUGCGCCCAAAACUGCAUGGCUUGAGUACCGGAGAGGGUGGCGGAAUUCCCGGUGUAGAGGUGAAAUUCGUAGAUAUCGGGAGGAACACCAGCGGCGAAGGCGGCCACCUGGACGGAUACUGACGCUGAGACGCGAAAGCGUGGGGAGCAAACAGGAUUAGAUACCCUGGUAGUCCACGCCGUAAACGUUGAGCGCUAGGUGUUGUGGGUGUUGACCCCUGCAGUGCCGCAGCUAACGCAUUAAGCGCUCCGCCUGGGAAGUACGGCCGCAAGGCUAA